Long non-coding RNA from Leopardus geoffroyi (Geoffroy's cat), 3992 nucleotides. RefSeq lists it as uncharacterized. Lineage: Eukaryota; Metazoa; Chordata; Mammalia; Carnivora; Felidae. The transcript has 5 exons. The record is from RefSeq and is a predicted model, not a curated record.
CUCAUGCUCUGUCUCUUCUCUCUCUCAAAAAUAAAUAAUAAACAUUUAAAAAAAAAAAAAAAAGAAAUGGAGUUGAAAGUCUUGGAGUCACAUUCUAUGCAGUGGAGUAUCGGAGUGGGCUCUCUAGAGCCAAUGCCUCUCUUCCCAACUCCACAUCCGGUGAUGUCAGGAUGAUGCCUUGAAAUUGGCUAUUGUUGGGACAUUCACACCACAGAAAUUGGCAAACAGUAGGGCCACCUGGGUGGCCCAGUCGGUUAAGCAUCUGACUUGGGCUCAGGUCAUGAUCUCAUGGUUUGAGACUGAGCCCCACAUCACUGUCAGCACAGAGUCUGCUUCAGAUCCACUGGCUCCCUCUCUGUCAGCCCUUUCUCUGUUUGUGUGUGCUCUCUCAAAAAUAAAUAAAUGUUAAAAAAGAAAUUGGCAAACAAUAAAGCUCAGUGUAGUGGGUGUUUUUCCCCCUGCCAAAAGUGACAUUUACAUACAUGCCACAUGAGCCGUGUGAACCUUGGGUGAUACUUAUUUCACAGAGGGAUUAGUGCAAAUGAGAUACUUAAUUUGGAAGUCCUCUGUAACCUGUAAAGUUUCUACAUGUGUUAGUUUUUAUUAUUUGAAAUAAAAUGUUAAAUAUGAAGCUUUAACAUUUAUUAAAAUCUAAGUGUGUAAUUAUUACCUUUCAUUGCAAGCUUCAAAUAUGAUAUAGGACAAGAUUUCAGAAAGCAAAACAAUUAGGAAGCAGCCUUUUUGUGUUGGUUAAAGCUAUUAUGUGCAAGUUACAAAACUCCUAACUCCAACCGGCUUCAACAGUGAAGUGAGUUCACUGUCACCUAAACUAAAAGGCCAGAGAGAGUGCCAGCUUAAUUCAGCUAGCUUAAUCCAGAGGCCAGGCUAAGCCCAGCAAGUCAGAUGAUGCCAUCGUAGAGCAGGAGGACCAUAUGUUCCUGUUUGCCCAGGAUAGUCCUGUUUACGCAUCCUAUCUGGUUUGGUGUAUGUCUUGCCCGGUUUCAUUCUCGAAGUUGUCCUAGUUUAGAAGAUAAAUGAUAUGUUUACUUAACCAAGGUUUGCUCUCUCUGCUCAGUUUUUUUGUGUUGCAGGAUUCACCCUCAGGUAUCACAAGACAUGUUUCCCCACCCGUUCCCUGCAGUUCCAGCCUCUUCCACGCAGAGAGCAUAAGAUCUGUAGAAGCUGCAGACCCCAUAACUUCAUACCACCCAAUCUAGUGGGACAGAAAAUCUCUUCCAGUAGCCUGUGCAAGUGCUGGGAUUCACUGCCUCUCCCUGGUCGGAUUUGGGUCACAUGGCCAUUGCUGAAACAUCCCUUUGGGAACAUGGAUUCACCGAUGGAUUUAGUCAACUGUGCUCACACCUAGAGUAGGCCUGAGAGAAUUCCAAACAAAUCACCCAACUGAGAAUGAGGUGACUUCUCCCAAGGAACAGCAAGUAACUGUCGGCAGCAGAAGAGGUAAGAAGCCUUCUGUGAGGUGCUGUGAAGCUGCUUCUGUGUGAGGCUGAUCUAGUAAUGGUGGCCAGAUACAACACAGUGGAGGAUGUGCCAGAGGCAUUCACACAGGGGGUGAAGUGCAGUGAUUAACAGCACAGAUCUUGGAGCCAAGAAGGCCUGCGUUCAAAUCUCAGCUCUGCCAAUUACUAAGAGCAUAUGACCUGGGGAGAGCAAGAGAAGCUUAAGCAGCCACCCUGUGGAGACUGAUGCGGAACUCGAUCCUACGAUCCUGGGAUCAGGACCUGAGUAGAAAUCAAGAGUCAGAUGCUCAACCGACUGAGCCAACCAGGCGUCCCAGGAGAGUUCCUUUAAAAUCAGAAAGUUUCACUUAGCAAAAUACAUCGUCCAACCAUGGCGUCUGGGUGAGGAAAGUGAACGAGCAAGAGUGAGCUCCGGUUACCUGUGUGGAGGCAUUAAUUUCAGCGGCUACUGCCCAGAUUUUUAGAAGUUUGUCAGUUAUUACUGGUCAAGUUUUCGGUGGGUAUGAGCAACUAUCAACUAUGAAGACUAUGGAACAACAACAACAACAAAAAGUCACAUCAAAUGUUUACUUCUUGCUCUGGAAGUUCAGAAAUCUUGUCUUACUUGUGAAACAGAGAAAGACAAAAUAAAAUUGACAAUGUAUAUAGUAUGGUUCUUUGUAACCCAACUUUCCGGGGGGGUCAGAAAGAGCCGUAUAAAAUAUUCGAAGCUUCAUGAAGGUGCCUGGAGGGAAGAGGUAAAGGUUCUCACUUAGAGUGGAUAGUUGAUGCUCAACAGUUUGAACUUGACUUGAGGAUAAACCAAGAGCCUACAACUGGGACAAGGCAUGUUUAUCUUUAGUGCAGCAGUUUGGAGGUGGAGGCAUUCCUGCAACAAUUGCCUGGCACAUUCUAGGCACAAAAUAUUUGUUGGUGACCCAGAACCACUGCCUCCAAAUCGACCUUCUCUCAAUUCACAGAUACUAUCAAAGGAGGAAAACCCUAGAACCCCAAGAGAAACCCAUUUCUCUCCUCUUAAUCCCCAAGAGAUCAGCAUUUGCUAUUUCCAUGGCAACCAGAAGACGCAAAAUGGCCAAAACCUGAGAGCUACUUCAGAUGAAAGCCAGAAAAAAGAAAAUUAACAAGAGACAUGUUACAGACAGCAUGGAUGACAGUGUGGCCAGGUUUCCAAAAUUUGGGGAGAUUUUCUUAUUUCUUUCCUUGGAAGAAUACAAUGCUGUCCAGAAUGUAGCAGUGGAGCUUCUUGCUGUGCUGCUAAAUGUUCAUUGGGUACUUAGUUUUAUUCUUUUCUUGAAAGGAGUGGAGGGACCCAUGGGCCUUGGCAGCAAUUAAGUGAAGGUAAGCUGUUGGAAAUUGCUCUCCUGGCAAGCCUUGAUGUUAACCUCAAUGAGGAGGCCAGUCUGGCUACAGUGCCCUUGUUCCCUUUCUUCCAUGGAGUGAACAAAUAUUUAUUGAGCACCUUCUAUUUUCUAGGUAAUCUAUUCCACACACAACGAAAUGAAAACUUACAACUCUGAUAAGGGCUCCUAGGAGAAGUCCCUGUAACUACUAGAGUGUGUAGUAAGCAGAGAUGACCUGUUAGAGCGGCCAGGCCCUCCUAAGGAAGUGUGAUUAAGCUGAGUAGGAGGAAACUGGGCCGUGGUUGCAGGGCCUGGGGAGGGAGAACAUUCCAGGCAGUGGGAACUCUUGGGCAAAGGCCCUUUGGAGGAAGUGAGCCUCAAGUGUUCGAGGAACUGAAAGCAGGCCUGAGCAGCCUGUGUUGGCAGAACCCCAGAGCGUGAGGGGAAUGAACUUGGGGCAAGGCCAGUUGGAGAUGUGAGCAGGAGCCAGGUCAUUCUCAGUGCAGAGCCUAGUCUUGCAGGGUGGGUUUGUUAGGGAUUUUGGUGUCUAUCUCUCCUCAUUCCAGGGUGAACUCAAGCUGUAACAGGAAUGUAUGACAGGUCCUUCUUGUGUGUGAUCUGGGAAUGGCAGCUUCUGGUUUAUCUGAAAUCCGUCAGAAUAUUGCCAUACAUUCCAGAUGUGAACCACCAAGUUUCAAAGAAUUAUAAUUUUAUGAAAUACUUUAAACCUAAAUCACAUUCAAGAUAUUUUAUGUAUGAAGACUCAGGCACUUUGGAGCCAUCACCAUGAAUUUCACUUAUCAUCAUAUAUUAACCCCUCAGAAGCCAGAGUUUGACCAUCUAAUAACUUCCCCUGUAUGUGUGACCCACCUGGAAUCUGGGAAGUUUGCAAGAAGCCAAAAAAAUGUAACAAAUUUUAAAUACAAAUUUUAACAGAGGGUAGGUCCUCAUUAAGAACUUAAUUGAUUAAUUUCAUUGUACACACAGUUCUAACGAGUGGGUUUUUUGGGUUCCAAGGGCACAGCAGAUAGGGAGCAAUAAUUUAGAAAGGGAGAAGGGAUGGGGUGGUAUAUGUAAAUAAUUAAAAGUAACAGGGAGCAGUACAAAUGUAGAGAAGGAGACCAAAAAAGAACCCCCCCCCCCAAACAAAACAAAACUCCUGAGACAAAAAACC